GGAUGAGUGGCGAACGGGUGAGUAACACGUGGGGAAUCUGCCUAGGAGUGGGGGAUAACAUUCGGAAACGGAUGCUAAUACCGCAUAUCUUCUUAGACCGCAUGGUCUAUGAAUGAAAGACGGCUUUGCUGUCGCUCUUAGAUGAUCCCGCGGCGUAUUAGUUAGUUGGUGGGGUAAAGGCCUACCAAGACAAUGAUACGUAGCCGACCUGAGAGGGUGAUCGGCCACACUGGGACUGAGACACGGCCCAGACUCCUACGGGAGGCAGCAGUAGGGAAUCUUCCACAAUGGGCGAAAGCCUGAUGGAGCAAUGCCGCGUGAAUGAAGGAGGUCUUCGGAUCGUAAAGUUCUGUUAUUAGAGAAGAACAAGUCAAGGAGUAACUGUCUUGGCUUUGACGGUACCUAACCAGAAAGUCACGGCUAACUACGUGCCAGCAGCCGCGGUAAUACGUAGGUGACGAGCGUUGUCCGGAAUUAUUGGGCGUAAAGGGAGCGCAGGCGGUUGGAAUAGUCUGAUGUGAAAGCCCACGGCUUAACCGUGGAAGGUCAUUGGAAACUGUCCAACUUGAAUACAGAAGAGGUAAGUGGAAUUCCAAGUGUAGCGGUGAAAUGCGUAGAUAUUUGGAGGAACACCAGUGGCGAAGGCGACUUACUGGUCUGUAAUUGACGCUGAGGCUCGAAAGCGUGGGUAGCAAACAGGAUUAGAUACCCUGGUAGUCCACGCCGUAAACGAUGAGUGCUAAGUGUUAGGGGGUUUCCGCCCCUUAGUGCUGGAGUUAACGCAUAAGCCACUCCG
RNAcentral lists this ribosomal RNA (796 nucleotides) under uncultured bacterium. Its description in RNAcentral is "bacterial SSU rRNA". It matches the Rfam family "Bacterial small subunit ribosomal RNA", at positions 89 to 871 of the family's 1533-position model. The record is from RNAcentral.